RNAcentral lists this ribosomal RNA (264 nucleotides) under uncultured bacterium. Its description in RNAcentral is "partial 16S ribosomal RNA". It matches the Rfam family "Bacterial small subunit ribosomal RNA", at positions 793 to 1055 of the family's 1533-position model. The record is from RNAcentral.
GUCCUAGCCCUAAACGAUCAGGACUUGGGGUGGCCCGCGUAGGCGGGUCGUCCCGGAGCUAACGCGUUAAGUCCUGCGCCUGGGGAGUACGGUCGCAAGACUGAAACUCAAAGGAAUUGACGGGGCCCGCACAAGCGGUGGAACAUGUGGUUCAAUUCGACGCAACGCGAAGAACCUUACCUGGGCUCGAAGUGCUCGGGACCAGCUGUGGAAACACGGCCUUUCCCGCAAGGGACCCGAGUAGAGGUGCUGCAUGGCUGUCGU